CUGUGCAACAUUGUUGGUGCGAGUGCAUUGCCUAGUGUCGAAUAAUGGGUAGUGUAUUUUGUAUCGUUACUGUUGUUAACUGGCGGAUGAGUUCAGUUGCCACACGUGUCAAAUGGUGAAAUAUUGCUGUACAACUGUUCUAUACAUGUCGGAUCCUUGGAACAAUGCUUCCUUUUAUAAUAAGAAAAAAAAUGCUUGGAGUGAACUCUUCAAUAAUCUCCAUCUUAAGAA
Long non-coding RNA from Etheostoma cragini (Arkansas darter), 231 nucleotides. RefSeq lists it as uncharacterized. The transcript has 2 exons. NCBI's taxonomy places the organism in Eukaryota, Metazoa, Chordata, Actinopteri, Perciformes, Percidae. The record is from RefSeq and is a predicted model, not a curated record.